GUGGGGAAUCUUGCGCAAUGGGCGAAAGCCUGACGCAGCCAUGCCGCGUGAAUGAUGAAGGUCUUAGGAUUGUAAAAUUCUUUCACCGGGGACGAUAAUGACGGUACCCGGAGAAGAAGCCCCGGCUAACUUCGUGCCAGCAGCCGCGGUAAUACGAAGGGGGCUAGCGUUGCUCGGAAUUACUGGGCGUAAAGGGCGCGUAGGCGGAUCGUUAAGUCAGGUGUGAAAUCCCAGAGCUCAACUCUGGAACUGCCCUUGAUACUGGCGAUCUUGAGUGUGAGAGAGGUAGGUGGAACUCCGAGUGUAGAGGUGAAAUUCGUAGAUAUUCGGAAGAACACCAGUGGCGAAGGCGACAUACUGGCUCAUUACUGACGCUGAGGCGCGAAAGCGUGGGGAGCAAACAGGAUUAGAUACCCGUGUAGUCC
RNAcentral lists this ribosomal RNA (425 nucleotides) under uncultured bacterium. RNAcentral's name for it is "partial 16S ribosomal RNA". It matches the Rfam family "Bacterial small subunit ribosomal RNA", at positions 354 to 796 of the family's 1533-position model. The record is from RNAcentral.